Molecule: long non-coding RNA, 371 nt
Organism: Sinocyclocheilus rhinocerous
Lineage: Eukaryota; Metazoa; Chordata; Actinopteri; Cypriniformes; Cyprinidae
Exons: 3
Source: RefSeq, a predicted model, not a curated record
UAAUUUCCCACACCUCACGUUUUCUGUUGUGUCACCCUUGCCUGGCGGAGUCGUGUGGUUUGGGUUUUCUAUUCCAGUCCUUCCUCUGUUUAAACCCAGUUCAGGUGUAGCGAGAUAUGUCAUAGCGGGAGCUCUUUCAUAUCAGUCGGAUUGACCCAGUUGAGGGGAAGUGCCUAUCGGCUUAUUUCCAGCGUGGAGCCGUGGAGUGGGUCAAUAUUUGGCAGGACGUACGGACCCAGACUGCGCUGCUGUUUUGUCUGUAUGGUUUCUGCUGUGUUUAUUGCCCUCGUUGUCUUUAUUAGAUUUUCUUUCUUCUUUCUUUGUGUCAGCUGUUUGUUUGAUGGUUUUAGGAAUAUUAAAGGGUUUAUUUA